GAUGUACUCCCUUCGUCCAACAAAUGAUAUCUCAACUUUAACUAAUUUUAAAUGUAUCUAUACACUAAAAUAUGUCUAGAUACAUUUAAAUUUUGACAAACUUGAGACAUUUUUUGUUGGACGGAGGGAUUACCUA
Molecule: non-coding RNA, 136 nt
Organism: Brachypodium distachyon (stiff brome)
Lineage: Eukaryota; Viridiplantae; Streptophyta; Magnoliopsida; Poales; Poaceae
Source: Rfam